Molecule: ribosomal RNA, 254 nt
Filed under: uncultured bacterium
Lineage: Bacteria
Description: partial 16S ribosomal RNA
Rfam family: Bacterial small subunit ribosomal RNA
Source: RNAcentral
UACGGAGGGUGCAAGCGUUAUCCGGAUUCACUGGGUUUAAAGGGUGCGUAGGUGGCUUUGUAAGUCAGUGGUGAAAGCCCGGAGCUCAACUCCGGAACUGCCAUUGAUACUGCUUAGCUUGAAUCACGUCGAGGUGGAUGGAAUAAUACAUGUAGCGGUGAAGUGCUUAGAUAUGUAUUAGAACACCGAUUGCGAAGGCAGUUCACUAGGCGUGUAUUGACACUGAGGCACGAAAAGCGUGGGGAUCAAACAGG